This 246-nucleotide ribosomal RNA is filed under the name uncultured prokaryote. RNAcentral describes it as "partial 16S ribosomal RNA". It matches the Rfam family "Bacterial small subunit ribosomal RNA", at positions 524 to 768 of the family's 1533-position model. The record is from RNAcentral.
UACGGAGGAUGCGAGCGUUAUCCGGAUUUAUUGGGUUUAAAGGGUGCGUAGGCGGCCGAGUAAGUCAGCGGUGAAAUUUUGCGAGCUUAACUGCAACAGUGCCGUUGAUACUGCAUGGCUAGGAUUUGGUUGCUGUGGGUGGAAUGUGUGGUGUAGCGGUGAAAUGCUUAGAUAUCACACAGAAUAUCAAUUGCGAAGGCAGCUCACAAAGCCAAGAUUGACGCUGAGGCACGAAAGUGUGGGGAU